GGGGGCGCAAUGGUUUCGACAGGUUUUGUGAAACUUGGUCAGCGGGUAGUGGCGCGGACACACUUUAAAAUCCGCACUUAAAUUUUAAACGGCAAUAAACAAUUGUCAGCUGUAGCCUAAAUAGGCUACCGUCCGUGCUUUGAGUACCGCGGCAGAGCAACGGGCGUCGAUUAGCGGUUAAUCUGAACGGCGCCACUCCUUUAACGCCGUCAGAAACCAAAGGAUACCGCACGCCGAUUUUGAACGUUUAAAGGCGCUGCGGGAAAUUUCAAAACGUCCUGCACCCGGAGAGCCCAAGCGGAACGGAGUCUGGACACGGGUCCGAUUCCCGUCGCCUCCACCA
RNAcentral lists this transfer-messenger RNA (343 nucleotides) under Candidatus Equicaccousia limihippi. It matches the Rfam family "transfer-messenger RNA". Rfam says of the family: Bacterial tmRNA, also known as 10Sa RNA or SsrA, is named for its dual tRNA and mRNA-like properties. Its role is to liberate the mRNA from a stalled ribosome. To accomplish this part of the tmRNA is used as a reading frame that ends in a translation stop signal. Lineage: Bacteria; Bacillati; Bacillota; Clostridia; Eubacteriales; Acutalibacteraceae. The record is from RNAcentral.